Long non-coding RNA from Sarcophilus harrisii (Tasmanian devil), 179 nucleotides. RefSeq lists it as uncharacterized. The record is from RefSeq and is a predicted model, not a curated record. Lineage: Eukaryota; Metazoa; Chordata; Mammalia; Dasyuromorphia; Dasyuridae. The transcript has 3 exons.
ACUCACUUCACUAAGCAUCAGUUCAUAAUGUAUCCUUGAAGAAAAUCAUUGUCCCAUUUUCAUCUUUAUAUCCUAAAUUCCUAUCACUAUCAAUGGAACACAAUGAGAAACUAAAAGUUGGAGAACUGAAGCAGUUUUCCCAUGCUGCACAGCAAGGAAACAAUAGAGCCAGAUUCUAG